AGUGACCUAAAGAGUAGAAAAUUUGGGUAAUUAGUUCCUUGCUCUUGAUGAAAAAAAAGAAAAAGAGAAGCAAGCUGAUCUUCUGAGGAUUCGUUGGCGGCGGCGAUAAAAACUAUCAUCGUGUGAGCUUCAGGUAUUUCGAGAUUCGUCCAAUAUCAUAGAGUAAAUGACUAGAUUUCGACAUAGCAUGUGCUUAGAUAUUCUGUAAAUUGUGAAAUCACAGCGGCAAAGUUAAAAUAUGGACACAACUAGAAACAUAUGUAUUUUUGAGAGAAAGAUGUGUAAUGAUGACCGUAUGAUGUUGUUGGAAAAUAAUAAUAAUGAUGUAAUGGUUAUUAGCUUGUAAAGGAUAGAUGUGAGAUAUGGAAACUAUAAAAAAAAUGUACUGCUUGUGAAAUUGAACAUAUUUAAAAAAGCUACAGUUGUGGACUUUUUUAUCAUUUAGUACAUAGAGUAUAACUUUCAAUCAUGAUGUAAUGAUGAGGGUAAUGAGAAAGUGAAAAAAUCAUAUGGUAGUAUAAGUUAUGGUAUAGUUUUCUGAAGCUACUACGGUUUCGGCACUUUCGAAAUACUACUGUCAGCAUAUGUUUGUGUACAAUUAUUUAUUAGUUGGAUUGGGGGUUGGCUUUGAUUUUGACUCUGUCGUAAGAUUAUGAAAAAUUAUUCAUCUAGACUAUUUAGGACAUAUUAUUCAAUAUUUUGGAUAGAUUGAGGCCAUUGGAGGCCGUUUGGUUGGUGUCUUAGACAUUGCAAGGUUGGAGAACUUCUCGUUAGCGAGAUACCGUUGCGGGAGAUAGAGCUAGUGGCCGACGAGUUUGUUCGAGUGGAUCUUAUUGCUGAGGUGAGCCACCACAUUGUUCGUGGAGGCUUUCGUUUCAGACUUGCUUAGUUCGUGUUAGUUACUUCUUCUUUUUUUGUCGGUUUGCAUACCCGUCAAUAAAACACAUAUUACUCUGUUAGAUGCUCCAUGGUCUUAGUGUGGGAUUUGAGCUAGAGUUUUAUUAUUUGAGUGAUUGUUGGUUUUUCUAUCAAUUGACUAAAGUAUUGAGUGAUAAUCAUUAUCUCUUUAAUUAUUAAUAAUACUUUAGGCCUGUACUUUUUUCUCA
Non-coding RNA from Nicotiana tabacum (common tobacco), 1106 nucleotides. The record is from RefSeq and is a predicted model, not a curated record. NCBI's taxonomy places the organism in Eukaryota, Viridiplantae, Streptophyta, Magnoliopsida, Solanales, Solanaceae.